This 497-nucleotide ribosomal RNA is filed under the name uncultured bacterium. RNAcentral's name for it is "partial 16S ribosomal RNA". It matches the Rfam family "Bacterial small subunit ribosomal RNA", at positions 28 to 507 of the family's 1533-position model. The record is from RNAcentral.
GAUGAACGCUGGCGGCGUGCCUAAUACAUGCAAGUCGAGCGAACAGAUAAGGAGCUUGCUCCUUUGACGUUAGCGGCGGACGGGUGAGUAACACGUGGGUAACCUACCUAUAAGACUGGGAUAACUUCGGGAAACCGGAGCUAAUACCGGAUAACAUUUGGAACCGCAUGGUUCUAAAGUGAAAGAUGGUUUUGCUAUCACUUAUAGAUGGACCCGCGCCGUAUUAGCUAGUUGGUAAGGUAACGGCUUACCAAGGCAACGAUACGUAGCCGACCUGAGAGGGUGAUCGGCCACACUGGGACUGAGACACGGUCCAGACUCCUACGGGAGGCAGCAGUAGGGAAUCUUCCGCAAAGGGCGAAAGCCUGACGGAGCAACGCCGCGUGAGUGAUGAAGGGUUUCGGCUCGUAAAACUCUGUUAUUAGGGAAGAACAAAUGUGUAAGUAACUGUGCACGUCUUGACGGUACCUAAUCAGAAAGCCACGGCUAACUACGUG